AAAAGAAUUGAUGAAAAGCAAUGAAGAUCAGAUGUCCAUCUCAAACCUGCUUUUACAAAAGCAGAAUAGAAAUGAAAUGAAAAUGC
Molecule: unclassified non-coding RNA, 86 nt
Organism: Microtus ochrogaster (prairie vole)
Lineage: Eukaryota; Metazoa; Chordata; Mammalia; Rodentia; Cricetidae
Product: predicted gene, 55521
Source: Ensembl